UAUGUUGUAGUCUAGUUGGUUAGGAUAUUCAACUCUCACCCAAAAGAUCCGGGUUUGAUUCCCGGCAAUGGAA
Molecule: transfer RNA, 73 nt
Filed under: Ipomoea nil (Japanese morning glory)
Lineage: Eukaryota; Viridiplantae; Streptophyta; Magnoliopsida; Solanales; Convolvulaceae
Rfam family: tRNA
About the family: Transfer RNA (tRNA) molecules are approximately 80 nucleotides in length. Their secondary structure includes four short double-helical elements and three loops (D, anti-codon, and T loops).
Source: Rfam by way of RNAcentral